UGAGGAAUAUUGGGCAAUGCCCGCAAGGGUGACCCAGCAACGCCGCGUGGAGGAUGAAUGUCGUAAGAUUGUAAACUCCUGUUAGAGGGGAAGAAUAGUACCGGUUGGACCGGUAUAUGACUGUACCCUCAGAGAAAGCCCCGGCUAACUACGUGCCAGCAGCCGCGGUAAUACGUAGGGGGCAAGCGUUGGCCGGAUUUACUGGGUGUAAAGGGCGCGCAGGCGGGAUAAAAAGUCAGUGGUGAAAUCCUACAGCUUAACUGUAGAACUGCCUUUGAUACUUUUAUUCUUGAGUUCGGGAGAGAGAGACGGAAUUCCAGGUGUAGUGGUGAAAUACGUAGAUAUCUGGAAGAACACCAGUUGCGAAGGCGGUCUCUUGGUCCGACACUGACGCUGAGGCGCGAAAGCGUGGGGAGCAAACA
This 422-nucleotide ribosomal RNA is filed under the name uncultured bacterium. Its description in RNAcentral is "bacterial SSU rRNA". It matches the Rfam family "Bacterial small subunit ribosomal RNA", at positions 355 to 774 of the family's 1533-position model. The record is from RNAcentral.